RNAcentral lists this unclassified non-coding RNA (1053 nucleotides) under Leishmania donovani. RNAcentral describes it as "gene:LdHU3.21.0090(CDS-product:Qb-SNARE_protein_p utative)". Lineage: Eukaryota; Euglenozoa; Kinetoplastea; Trypanosomatida; Trypanosomatidae. The record is from RNAcentral.
GCUUUCAAUUUAUACUGCUGUUACGCAAAAGCGUAUUUCAUGGUGAAGCUAGCUAUCACAGCUCAGCCGAAUCUCGACACACAAAGGAAAAGAAAUGCUUGCCAGCGACCCGUUCAAUGACUCCGUGAAGGAGCUGCGAGAGGUUGUGGUGCGAGCGAAGCUCAUUGAGCAGCAGUUGACGCAGAAGGGCGUAAUCUCUUCUUCGAGUGUGGAAGAGCUUCGCGAUGCCAAAGAGACUGCAGAGGAAAUGCUGCAUUUCCUGAAGGAAAUGCUCCGUGUAGUCGACGAGCGCGGUGGCAAGGUGCAGGGCAAGGUGUUUUCUGCGAACGAAAUUAUGGAGCGACAAAAUAUUGUACGCAGUCUCGAAGGGGAUGUGGCAGAAGCACGCAGUUUCUACGAAAAAAUUGCGGCAUCUGCCGCGCAGAGGCAACGAGUAGCAGAAGCGGCUGUAGGUAGCCCUGGUGAGAGCUGUGGCGUUGCGGCGGACGAGUUUAUAUCUGCGCAGGUAUUUGCUCAGCGUGAGGAGGAAAAGGUUCAGGAUGAGGUGCUGGAACGACUCACCUUUGGACUGCGCGAAUUGCGCGAAACAGGCCUCCACAUUCACGAAGAGCUGGACACGCAGGAGGUCAUGCUCGACAACGUUGAUCGCGACAUCUCAGGCGUCCAGGUGCGGCUGCGCGCCGCAAAUGCAAAGGUUGACAAGCUCCUUGCAAGCAUGUCGAACAAGGGCAAGGUAUGCACCAUUGCCAUGCUCACUUUUAUUCUCGUCUUUCUGGCAUUCUUUGGCUUUGGCUGAUCCAGCGUGAAGGCUAGGACAGGAGGGUUCGCUGUCACCAUUAGCCCGCGCGACAGAUGCAGGUGUGCUGGGGUCUUGAGACGGAGGGGAUCGAUCAAGUGUAUGUUUCCUCAUGUUCUUUGAUCUCGCUUUACUUGCUCUUUCUCGUGAGGCCUUUUCGUUUUUCUUGGAUUUUGCCGUUUUUUUUUUUGGUUGCUGAGUGUAUGCUAUUUCUACACCUGCCUCUGUUGUGCAGCGCAUACCGCGCUGAAACCUUC